RNAcentral lists this ribosomal RNA (767 nucleotides) under Pseudoalteromonas shioyasakiensis. RNAcentral's name for it is "bacterial SSU rRNA". It matches the Rfam family "Bacterial small subunit ribosomal RNA", at positions 97 to 859 of the family's 1533-position model. The record is from RNAcentral. Lineage: Bacteria; Pseudomonadati; Pseudomonadota; Gammaproteobacteria; Alteromonadales; Pseudoalteromonadaceae.
GGCGGACGGGUGAGUAAUGCUUGGGAAUAUGCCUUAUGGUGGGGGACAACAGUUGGAAACGACUGCUAAUACCGCAUGAUGUCUACGGACCAAAGUGGGGGACCUUCGGGCCUCACGCCAUAAGAUUAGCCCAAGUGGGAUUAGCUAGUUGGUGAGGUAAUGGCUCACCAAGGCGACGAUCCCUAGCUGGUUUGAGAGGAUGAUCAGCCACACUGGGACUGAGACACGGCCCAGACUCCUACGGGAGGCAGCAGUGGGGAAUAUUGCACAAUGGGCGCAAGCCUGAUGCAGCCAUGCCGCGUGUGUGAAGAAGGCCUUCGGGUUGUAAAGCACUUUCAGUAAGGAGGAAAGGUUAAGUGUUAAUAGCACUUAGCUGUGACGUUACUUACAGAAGAAGCACCGGCUAACUCCGUGCCAGCAGCCGCGGUAAUACGGAGGGUGCGAGCGUUAAUCGGAAUUACUGGGCGUAAAGCGUACGCAGGCGGUUUGUUAAGCGAGAUGUGAAAGCCCCGGGCUCAACCUGGGAACUGCAUUUCGAACUGGCAAACUAGAGUGUGAUAGAGGGUGGUAGAAUUUCAGGUGUAGCGGUGAAAUGCGUAGAGAUCUGAAGGAAUACCGAUGGCGAAGGCAGCCACCUGGGUCAACACUGACGCUCAUGUACGAAAGCGGUGGGGGAGCAAACAGGAUUAGAUACCCUGGUAGUCCACGCCGUAAACGAUGUCUACUAGAAGCUCGGGUCUUCGGACUUGUUUUUCAAAGCUAACGCA